RNAcentral lists this ribosomal RNA (274 nucleotides) under uncultured bacterium. RNAcentral's name for it is "partial 16S ribosomal RNA". It matches the Rfam family "Bacterial small subunit ribosomal RNA", at positions 523 to 796 of the family's 1533-position model. The record is from RNAcentral.
AUACGGAGGGUGCAAGCGUUGUUCGGAAUCACUGGGCGUAAAGGGCGCGCAGGCGGUUUGGUAAGUCAGAUGUGAAAGCCCAUGGCUCAACCAUGGAAGUGCAUUUGAAACUGUCAGACUUGAGUACUAGAGGGGAAAGUGGAAUUCCCGGUGUAGAGGUGAAAUUCGUAGAUAUCUGGAGGAAUACCGGUGGCGAAGGCGACUUUCUGGCUAGAUACUGACGCUGAGGCGCGAAAGCGUGGGGAGCAAACAGGAUUAGAAACCCCAGUAGUCC